Molecule: ribosomal RNA, 448 nt
Filed under: uncultured bacterium
Lineage: Bacteria
Description: bacterial SSU rRNA
Rfam family: Bacterial small subunit ribosomal RNA
Source: RNAcentral
GAGCGGUAGAGAGAAGCUUGCUUCUCUUGAGAGCGGCGGACGGGUGAGUAAUGCCUAGGAAUCUGCCUGGUAGUGGGGGAUAACGUUCGGAAACGAACGCUAAUACCGCAUACGUCCUACGGGAGAAAGCAGGGGACCUUCGGGCCUUGCGCUAUCAGAUGAGCCUAGGUCGGAUUAGCUAGUUGGUGAGGUAAUGGCUCACCAAGGCGACGAUCCGUAACUGGUCUGAGAGGAUGAUCAGUCACACUGGAACUGAGACACGGUCCAGACUCCUACGGGAGGCAGCAGUGGGGAAUAUUGGACAAUGGGCGAAAGCCUGAUCCAGCCAUGCCGCGUGUGUGAAGAAGGUCUUCGGAUUGUAAAGCACUUUAAGUUGGGAGGAAGGGUUGCUGAUUAAUACUCUGCAAUUUUGACGUUACCGACAGAAUAAGCACCGGCUAACUCUGUG